AGUUUGAUUCUGGGUUCAGGACGAACGGCUGGCGGGCGUGCCUAAUACCAUCCAAGUAGACCGGUGAAGAAAAGGAGCUUGCUUCUUUUGGAUGAGUUGCGAACGGGUGAGUAACGCGUAGGUAACCUGCCUUGUAGCGGGGGAUAACUAUUGGAAACGAUAGCUAAUACCGCAUAACAGCUUUUGACACAUGUUAGAAGCUUGAAAGAUGCAAUUGCAUCACUACGAGAUGGACCUGCGUUGUAUUAGCUAGUAGGUAGGGUAACGGCCUACCUAGGCGACGAUACAUAGCCGACCUGAGAGGGUGAUCGGCCACACUGGGACUGAGACACGGCCCAGACUCCUACGGGAGGCAGCAGUAGGGAAUCUUCGGCAAUGGGGGCAACCCUGACCGAGCAACGCCGCGUGAGUGAAGAAGGUUUUCGGAUCGUAAAGCUCUGUUGUAAGAGAAGAACGUGUGUGAGAGUGGAAAGUUCACACAGUGACGGUAACUUACCAGAAAGGGACGGCUAACUACGUGCCAGCAGCCGCGGUAAUACGUAGGUCCCGAGCGUUGUCCGGAUUUAUUGGGCGUAAAGCGAGCGCAGGCGGUUUAAUAAGUCUGAAGUUAAAGGCAGUGGCUUAACCAUUGUUCGCUUUGGAAACUGUUAAACUUGAGUGCAGAAGGGGAGAGUGGAAUUCCAUGUGUAGCGGUGAAAUGCGUAGAUAUAUGGAGGAACACCGGUGGCGAAAGCGGCUCUCUGGUCUGUAACUGACGCUGAGGCUCGAAAGCGUGGGGAGCAAACAGGAUUAGAUACCCUGGUAGUCCACGCCGUAAACGAUGAGUGCUAGGUGUUAGGCCCUUUCCGGGGCUUAGUGCCGCAGCUAAC
RNAcentral lists this ribosomal RNA (869 nucleotides) under uncultured bacterium. RNAcentral's name for it is "bacterial SSU rRNA". It matches the Rfam family "Bacterial small subunit ribosomal RNA", at positions 10 to 856 of the family's 1533-position model. The record is from RNAcentral.